RNAcentral lists this ribosomal RNA (287 nucleotides) under uncultured soil bacterium. RNAcentral describes it as "partial 16S ribosomal RNA". It matches the Rfam family "Bacterial small subunit ribosomal RNA", at positions 26 to 338 of the family's 1533-position model. The record is from RNAcentral.
AGAACGAACGCUGGCGGCAUGCCUAACACAUGCAAGUCGAACGAUCUCUUCGGAGAUAGUGGCGCACGGGUGCGUAACGCGUGGGAAUCUGCCCUUGGGUUCGGAAUAGCAGUUGGAAACGACUGCUAAUACCGGAUGAUGACGUUAAGUCCAAAGAUUUAUCGCCCAGGGAUGAGCCCGCGUAGGAUUAGCUAGUUGGUGAGGUAAAGGCUCACCAAGGCGACGAUCCUUAGCUGGUCUGAGAGGAUGAUCAGCCACACUGGGACUGACGACACCGGCCCAGACCU